GCGUCUCUACAUUGUUCGCAAAGAAAAAAUGAUUAAUUGAUAUUGGCACUAAAUAUCAAAAUGAAUGCAGCCAAGCAGAUUGAGAAGAAAUAAAAUCAGUAAUUCUGCACACAUUACAAUGGAAAAAGCCUCCCACAUCCGGGCACAUAAAGAAUUCAGCGAAAUUACUCAGAGAAGAAUAUCCUUUAUGAAAAUAAUUGAAUGCACAUCAAAGAAACAGUUUGCAAUGAUGACAUCAAGAUUAAUUCUGGAAGCAGAAGUCAAGAGAUUUGCUUAAUUGACAAGUAGUGAAUUAUUUUCUCUCACAAGUUGUUACAUAGCUAUCAUCAACAUUGCUUCUGCACUAUUAUUAUUAUUAUUAUCUCAUUACAGCCACUAUCCAAACGACUGUCAGCUUCUCUUGACACUGCUGAAACUAAGAUAUUACCGCAGUCCACAAACAUAAACCCAAACAUCUUAGUUGCCAUAGACAGACAUAGAUACUACCCCCACAUGCUCUUGCUUUUCUACUAUGCUGUAUCAUGGUGAUAUCUCAGAUGCUCUGCUCCAUCACUCAAGCCUAUACUA
Molecule: unclassified non-coding RNA, 567 nt
Filed under: Hevea brasiliensis (rubber tree)
Lineage: Eukaryota; Viridiplantae; Streptophyta; Magnoliopsida; Malpighiales; Euphorbiaceae
Source: RNAcentral